Molecule: non-coding RNA, 23 nt
Filed under: Gorilla gorilla (western gorilla)
Lineage: Eukaryota; Metazoa; Chordata; Mammalia; Primates; Hominidae
Also listed under: 2 other names
Gene: ggo-miR-378a
Source: miRBase by way of RNAcentral
ACUGGACUUGGAGUCAGAAGGCC